Molecule: transfer RNA, 72 nt
Filed under: Camelus bactrianus (Bactrian camel)
Lineage: Eukaryota; Metazoa; Chordata; Mammalia; Artiodactyla; Camelidae
Also listed under: 2 other names
Rfam family: tRNA
About the family: Transfer RNA (tRNA) molecules are approximately 80 nucleotides in length.
Source: Rfam by way of RNAcentral
GAGGGUAUAGCUCAGCAGUAGAGUGCAUGCUUAGCAUGCACGAAGACCUGGGUUCAAUCCCCAGUACCACCG